This 73-nucleotide transfer RNA is filed under the name Canis lupus familiaris (dog). It matches the Rfam family "tRNA". Rfam says of the family: Transfer RNA (tRNA) molecules are approximately 80 nucleotides in length. Their secondary structure includes four short double-helical elements and three loops (D, anti-codon, and T loops). RNAcentral also lists the same sequence under 1 other name. Lineage: Eukaryota; Metazoa; Chordata; Mammalia; Carnivora; Canidae. The record is from Rfam by way of RNAcentral.
GCCUGGCUGGCUCAGUUGGUGGAGCAUGUGACUCUUGAUCUUGGAGUUGUGGGUUCGAGCCCCACGUUGGGUG